This 468-nucleotide ribosomal RNA is filed under the name uncultured bacterium. RNAcentral describes it as "partial 16S ribosomal RNA". It matches the Rfam family "Bacterial small subunit ribosomal RNA", at positions 28 to 507 of the family's 1533-position model. The record is from RNAcentral.
GACGAACGCUGGCGGCGUGCUUAACACAUGCAAGUCGAACGGAAAGGCCCUGCUUUUGUGGGGGGCUCGAGUGGCGAACGGGUGAGGAACACGUGAGUAACCUGCCCUUGACUUUGGGAUAACUUCAGGAAACGGGGGCUAAUACCGGAUAGGAGCGCCUGCUGCAUGGUGGGGGUUGGAAAGUUUCGGCGGUUGGGGAUGGACUCGCGGCUUAUCAGCUUGUUGGUGGGGUAGUGGCUUACCAAGGCUUUGACGGGUAGCCGGCCUGAGAGGGUGACCGGACACAGUGGGACUGAGAUACGGCCCAGACUCCUACGGGAGGCAGCAGUGGGGAAUAUUGCACAAUGGGCGGAAGCCUGAUGCAGCAACGCCGCGUGCGGGAUGACGGCCUUCGGGUUGUAAACCGCUUUCGCCUGUGACGAAGCGUGAGUGACGGUAAUGUGUAAAGAAGCACCGGCUAACUACGUG